RNAcentral lists this unclassified non-coding RNA (320 nucleotides) under Hevea brasiliensis (rubber tree). Lineage: Eukaryota; Viridiplantae; Streptophyta; Magnoliopsida; Malpighiales; Euphorbiaceae. The record is from RNAcentral.
GACAACUGGAGGCCAGAGAAUUUUGAUUGGUUAUAAAGGGCUUGACCAAAAACCUGGGGCAAUUGUGGGGCUGUGACAGAGGCAAAAUUCUGGGGUUGGCCUGCAAAAGGGACCUGUAAAUGGGUGGGAGGCCUUAGGACUUGUUGUGAAUUUGGGUUGUGGGUAAGGUCUAAUGUUACAGUUGGGAAUGGAGCUGAAGCUGAAAUUGUUGCCAUACUGGAUGAGCAUGGAAGGAUUGCUCUCGCUAGCAAAUUUGGGUUCAUUAACCCAUCUGCACUUGACAUUGACCCAGAAAGUAGCAUGCUUGCAGCUGCUGUUGU